RNAcentral lists this ribosomal RNA (484 nucleotides) under uncultured bacterium. RNAcentral describes it as "partial 16S ribosomal RNA". It matches the Rfam family "Bacterial small subunit ribosomal RNA", at positions 29 to 507 of the family's 1533-position model. The record is from RNAcentral.
AUUGAACGCUGGCGGCAUGCUUUACACAUGCAAGUCGAACGGCAGCGCGGGCUUCGGCCUGGCGGCGAGUGGCGAACGGGUGAGUAAUACAUCGGAACGUGCCCAGUAGUGGGGGAUAGCUCGGCGAAAGCCGGAUUAAUACCGCAUACGACCUGAGGGUGAAAGCGGGGGAUCUUCGGACCUCACGCUAUUGGAGCGGCCGAUGGCAGAUUAGCUAGUUGGUGGGGUAAAGGCCUACCAAGGCGACGAUCUGUAGCUGGUCUGAGAGGACGACCAGCCACACUGGGACUGAGACACGGCCCAGACUCCUACGGGAGGCAGCAGUGGGGAAUUUUGGACAAUGGGCGAAAGCCUGAUCCAGCAAUGCCGCGUGUGUGAUGAAGGCCUUCGGGUUGUAAAGCACUUUUGGCGGGAACGAAAAGGACUGUGCCAAUACCACGGUUCGAUGACGGUACCCGCAGAAUAAGCACCGGCUAACUACGUG